GAUCAUGGCUCAGGAUGAACGCUAGCGGCAGGCUUAACACAUGCAGGUCGAGGGGCAGCAUGAGGAGUCAGCAAUGACACCUUGAUGGCGACCGGCGCAAGGGUGCGUAACGCGUGAGCAACCUGCCCGUCACGGGGGGAUAACCGGUGGAAACGCCGACUAAUAUCCCAUGGUUUCCGUUGGGGGCAUCCCCGGCGGAAUAAAGGCUUCGGCCGGUGACGGAUGGGCUCGCGUGACAUUAGG
RNAcentral lists this ribosomal RNA (243 nucleotides) under uncultured bacterium. Its description in RNAcentral is "partial 16S ribosomal RNA". It matches the Rfam family "Bacterial small subunit ribosomal RNA", at positions 15 to 245 of the family's 1533-position model. The record is from RNAcentral.